CGGUCUCAGUUCGGAUUGAAGGCUGAAAUUCGCCUUCAUGAAGCUGGAAUUGCUAGUAAUGGCAGGUCAGCAUACUGCCGUGAAUACGUUCCCGGGCCUUGUACACACCGCCCGUCACACCAUGAGAGUUGGAAAUACCCGAAGCCUGUGAGCUAACUGUAAAGAGGCAGCAGUCGAAGGUAGAGCCAAUGAUUGGGGUGAAGUCGUAACAAGGUAUC
Molecule: ribosomal RNA, 218 nt
Filed under: uncultured bacterium
Lineage: Bacteria
Description: partial 16S ribosomal RNA
Rfam family: Bacterial small subunit ribosomal RNA
Source: RNAcentral